GGCUCUUGGGUUUAAUCAAAGGGCUGUGAACCAUGAGUGCCAAAGGACUGUGAGAAAGAAAAAUUACAGACUUGGAAAGAAAUUCCAACAGUGUACUAAGAAGACAAUGACUGAAGGGCUCUCUCAGAAUAAUGGCAAGCGUCCCAAAAUUACAGGAAACACAUAACAAUCAAAGAUGAAUCAGACAGUCUCUAAAUAUCUUAACAAGAAGAUAACCGUCAUACUGCUUACUCCCAGCUGUCUGAGUUUACCGACGGGUGCAUACUCUUCUGCCAGUUUUACAGAAGGGGAAAUCACGGAUCAACGGUCUCCAUUAGGAACGGAACACAAGGAUGGAGCGAUGCGGUUUCCCACAGUGACCACUAGAUGGCAGACGUAUCCCCAGCCAACUUUUCCUCGGAGGCUCCCCAUGAACUUCAUUAGCUAG
RNAcentral lists this long non-coding RNA (427 nucleotides) under Cricetulus griseus (Chinese hamster). Its description in RNAcentral is "lncRNA (ENSCGRG00000024898.1)". Lineage: Eukaryota; Metazoa; Chordata; Mammalia; Rodentia; Cricetidae. The record is from RNAcentral.